CUUGGUUACAGCUUUUCGGGACCCCUCCUGGAGAGGCCUGAGACUCCUAGGGCUGGAAAGAGAAGAAAGAGAGAGACAGGGGAAGAGGGAGGAAGGGAAGGGUAAGCAUCUCUCUAGCGGCCGAGUCUUGAAGGUGAGGACUAGGACUUUAUGAGAGCCACCAAAACCGUGAAGGUCUGGGUGGGGUGAUGUUCAGUUCUCUUUCUUGUGUUCCUGGAGAUUACACAGUCCUUUGAAGGAGACCUACAAAGCCUAUGCUGGUAAACUACCAGCUGGGAAGGGAAGGGAAUAAUUUUGAACCCAGGAGUCUAAUCUGCCCUAGGAAGGCAUCUCUGAGGGCCACUGUGGCCUUGAAGGCUGUGGUGGGGUGCUCCCUCCCUGCAGGUGGGCAAAGAGGUUUGCCGGACAAUCAACGGCCAAAUCCUCCUGACACCACCAUUGGGUUUAGGGCUCCAGGAAGCGGAAACUCACCAAUCGAAGGCCGGUGGUGGAUGGAGUUCUGGCUGUCGAGAAAAUGGGUUCAGGCCGUCCGGUGAGUGGCACUUCUGAAGGAAGAGGGACCCAAAAGUGGGUUUAAUCCCUCUCCCGGGUUUUGGCACCAAUGAAAGAAAAGUGACCACAACACCCAGAGCAACCAAGAGAUCUUUAUUGCAGCAGUGCAACAGAGGAGAAAAGAAAGAAAAAGAGAGAGAGAGAGAGAGAGAGAGAGAGAGAGAGAGAGAGGGGAAGCACGUGCAAG
This 739-nucleotide long non-coding RNA is filed under the name Marmota monax (woodchuck). The record is from RNAcentral. Lineage: Eukaryota; Metazoa; Chordata; Mammalia; Rodentia; Sciuridae.